RNAcentral lists this ribosomal RNA (428 nucleotides) under uncultured archaeon. RNAcentral describes it as "bacterial SSU rRNA". It matches the Rfam family "Archaeal small subunit ribosomal RNA", at positions 474 to 903 of the family's 1478-position model. The record is from RNAcentral.
UACCAGCUCUCCGAGUGGUAGGGAUGUUUAUUGGGCUUAAAGCGUCCGUAGCCGGCUUAGCAAGUCUCCUGUUAAAUUCAGCGACCUAAUCGUUGAGCCGCGGGAGAUACUACUAGGCUAGGAGGCGGGAGAGGUCAACGGUACUUCCGGGGUAGGGGUGAAAUCCUAUAAUCCCGGGAGGACCACCAGUGGCGAAGGCUGUUGACUAGAACGCGCUCGACGGUGAGGGACGAUAGCUGGGGGAGCGAACCGGAUUAGAUACCCGGGUAGUCCCAGCUGUAAACGAUGCGAGCUAGGUGUUGGGGUGGCUACGUGCCACUUCAGUGCCGCAGGGAAGCCAUUAAGCUCGCCGCCUGGGGAGUACGGCCGCAAGGCUGAAACUUAAAGGAAUUGGCGGGGAGCACCACAAGGCGUGAAGCUUGCGGUUC